AACGAACGCUGGCGGCGUGUCUUAAGCAUGCAAGUCGAGCGGCAAGGCGGGGCAACCCGCCCUAGAGCGGCGGACUGGUGAGUAACACGUGGGUGAUCUACCCUUGGUUUGGGGAUAGCCCGUGGAAACAUGGGGUAAUACCGAAUACGUCGUCCUGGCUACGGCCUGGACGGGAAAGGCGCCAAGGCGCCGACCGAGGAUGAGCCCGCGCCCCAUUAGCUAGUUGGUGAGGUAACGGCCCACCAAGGCGAUGAUGGGUAGGCGGCCUGAGAGGGUGUACGCCCACACUGGGACUGAGAUACGGCCCAGACUCCUACGGGAGGCAGCAGCUAAGAAUAUUCCG
RNAcentral lists this ribosomal RNA (343 nucleotides) under uncultured bacterium. RNAcentral describes it as "bacterial SSU rRNA". It matches the Rfam family "Bacterial small subunit ribosomal RNA", at positions 28 to 368 of the family's 1533-position model. The record is from RNAcentral.